CCUACGGGUGGCAGCAGUGGGGAAUAUUGGGCAAUGGACGCAAGUCUGACCCAGCAAAGCCGCGUGAAGGAAGAAGGCUUUCGGGUUGUAAACUUCUUUUAAGGGGGAAGCGCUGAAGACGGUACCCCUUGAAUAAGCCACGGCUAACUACGUGCCAGCAGCCGCGGUAAUACGUAGGUGGCACGCGUUGUCCGGAUUUACUGGGGUUAAAGGGCGUGCAGCCGGUGAGAUAAGUCAGAUGUGAAAUCCACGGGCUCAACCCGUGAACUGCAUUUGAAACUGGUGCUCUUGAGUGGGGGAGAGGUAAUCGGAAUGCGUGGUGUAGCGGUGAAAUGCAUAGAUAUAAGGAAGAACACCAGUGGCGAAGGCGGAUUACUGGACGAUAACUGACGGUGAGGCGCGAAAGCGUGGGGAGCAAACAGGAUUAGAUACCCGAGUAGUC
This 442-nucleotide ribosomal RNA is filed under the name uncultured bacterium. RNAcentral describes it as "partial 16S ribosomal RNA". It matches the Rfam family "Bacterial small subunit ribosomal RNA", at positions 338 to 795 of the family's 1533-position model. The record is from RNAcentral.